GCAGGUAAAAGGCAAAGCUGUUGAAAAACAGUGACGCAAAGCUACGGAUCUAAGGGGAUGGGGAUCACUCUAAGACAGCCGGGCUACCUAU
RNAcentral lists this non-coding RNA (91 nucleotides) under Alkalicoccus daliensis. Its description in RNAcentral is "Bacillus sp. DLS13 c-di-GMP-I riboswitch aptamer". It matches the Rfam family "c-di-GMP-I riboswitch aptamer". From Rfam's summary of the family: GEMM was predicted in a large-scale screen for bacterial structured RNA regulatory elements. Genes associated with GEMM are involved in a diverse array of functions, including chemotaxis regulation, signal transduction, secretion and chitin. The record is from Rfam by way of RNAcentral. Lineage: Bacteria; Bacillati; Bacillota; Bacilli; Caryophanales; Bacillaceae.